RNAcentral lists this ribosomal RNA (439 nucleotides) under uncultured bacterium. Its description in RNAcentral is "partial 16S ribosomal RNA". It matches the Rfam family "Bacterial small subunit ribosomal RNA", at positions 339 to 795 of the family's 1533-position model. The record is from RNAcentral.
CUACGGGUCGCUGCAGUGAGGAAUAUUGCACAAUGGGGGGAACCCUGAUGCAGCAACGCCGCGUGGAGGAUGACGCAUUUCGGUGUGUAAACUCCUUUUAUAUGUCAAGAAAAUGACGGUAGCAUAUGAAUAAGCACCGGCUAACUCCGUGCCAGCAGCCGCGGUAAUACGGAGGGUGCAAGCGUUACUCGGAAUCACUGGGCGUAAAGGACGCGUAGGCGGGUUGGAAAGUCAGGUGUGAAAUCCUACAGCUUAACUGUAGAACUGCAAUUGAAACUUCUAAUCUAGAGGAUGGGAGGGGGAGAUGGAAUUAGUGGUGUAGGGGUAAAAUCCGUAGAUAUCACUAGGAAUACCUAAAGCGAAGGCGAUCUCCUGGAACAUUACUGACGCUAAGGCGUGAAAGCGUGGGGAGCAAACAGGAUUAGAUACCCGAGUAGUC